GGUUGGAUCCUGCCGGACCCUACUGCUAUCGGGGUGGGACUAAGACAUGCGUGUCGAACGACCCCAAGCCAACAUGAGGUCGUGGCAUACGGCUCAGUAACACGUGGCUAACCUACCCUCGAGACAGGGACAACCCCGGGAAACUGGGGCUAAUCCCAGAUAGAUGAAGACCCCUGGAACGGGUCCUCGUCCAAAAGGCACCACGGUUAUGCUCUGCGGUGUCGCUCAAGGAUGGGGCCGCGUCCGAUCAGGCUGUUGGUGAGGUAAUGGCUCACCAAACCUAUAACCGGUACGGGCCGUGGGAGCGGGAGCCCGGAGAUGGGAACUGAGACAAGGUCCCAGGCCCUACGGGGCGCAGCAGUUACGAAAACUUGUCAAUGCACGAAAGUGUGAACGGGCUACCCCGAGUGCCGUCCGCUGAGGAUGGCUUUUCUCUGCUUUAAGAAGGCAGAGGAAUAAGGCGAGGGCAAGUCUGGUGUCAGCCGCCGCGGUAAUACCAGCUCGCCGAGUGGUAGGGAUGAUUAUUGGGCCUAAAGCGUCCGUAGCUGGCCUUUCAAGUCUCUUGUUAAAUCCAACGAUUCAAUCGUUGGACUGCAGGAGAUACUGCAAGGCUAGGAGGCGAGAGAAGCCGACGGUAUUUUCGGGGUAGGGGUAAAAUCCUAUAAUCCCGAGAAGACCACCAGUGGCGAAGGCGGUCGGCUAGCGCGCGCUCGACAGUGAGGGACGAAAGCUGGGGGAGCGAACCGGAUUAGAUACCCGGGUAGUCCCAGCUGUAAACGAUGCUGGCUAGGUGUUGAAGCGGCCACGAGCCGCUUCAGUGCCGCAGGAAAGCCAUUAAGCCAGCCGCCUGGGGAGUACGGCCACAAGGCUGAAACUUAAAGGAAUUGGCGGGGGAGCACCACAAGGGGUGAAGCUUGCGGUUUAAUUGGAGUCAACGCCGGA
This 942-nucleotide ribosomal RNA is filed under the name uncultured archaeon. Its description in RNAcentral is "bacterial SSU rRNA". It matches the Rfam family "Archaeal small subunit ribosomal RNA", at positions 6 to 922 of the family's 1478-position model. The record is from RNAcentral.